This 2509-nucleotide long non-coding RNA is filed under the name Carassius auratus (goldfish). RNAcentral's name for it is "lncRNA (ENSCARG00000061273.1)". Lineage: Eukaryota; Metazoa; Chordata; Actinopteri; Cypriniformes; Cyprinidae. The record is from RNAcentral.
GUGUGCUACAGUGCAGUGUUUGUCAGUGAUUAACUCUUGCUGAAGCUGAUGUGUUUGUUGGUGUUCAGACCGUGUCGGAUGGACCUGUGUGAUUGUGUUUCUCCAGACGCUCUGGGCACUGGUCAACUUCACAUGGUCAUUUCAGUCAUACGCUCUUCCCAGUGUCACAGCUGUGUAUGUGUUUGGAUCAGUCUGUGUUGUGUUACUGAACUCUGUUGCUCUGAUGACUGAACUGAUCCUCAAAACAGUUAAUGGUGAAGGAGCGACGGGAGACAUGAGGAUCAUCGUCUUCUCCUCUGAAUUACUCUUCACUUUAAUUCUGGUGAUUUUAAUGGUAUUUGAACCCUGGAUCACACCGUGUCUUCAGUCUUGUACGAAGUCAAUGCAGUCUCGUCGAGCUGCAGCCGCUGGAUCACAGAAUCAGGAAUCUCAGAACGCAGGAGCAGAUUCAGCCACUGGAUCGAACCAGAACCAGAACCAGAACCGGAACCAGAACCGGAACCAGAACCAGAACCAGAACCCAGCAGAGUCACAUGAGAUGAAUUCUCUUCUGAACACACAAAACCAGGAGAACAGCAGGAGCGACGGGACGGAGGAAGCUCAGCCGGAUUCAGUGGUUUCACAAUCAUAAUCAACAGAUCCAGAAAAACACUCGUGAGGAGCUUUCCUCUGAGAUUUAAGAGUCCAGUCUCAUUCUUCAUCUGUUAUUGAGGCCGUUAUUUAAUGUGUGUUUGCUGUAAAUAUAUACAGGAUGUCUUUAUAUUGAUGUAAUAGUGAUUGUCUCUUAUAACUAACUCUAGCUGUAAACUACUUCAGCAGUAGAAAUGAAACUCAGACUCCUUUAAGAUCAACGGAGAGAAAUCAGUGUUAUAAUAUUAACUUUAAUAAACACGUCUGUGGAUUGAUGCUGGAGUCUCAAGAUCACAGAGAUCACCGUUCAGGAUCAUGAUGUCUGUCACACAUCAGAAACACUAAGACUGAACAUCUACAACUUCAGAUGACUGCUCAGAUCCUUCAUUAUGACUCUGUCAUGAAGAGUAAAACAUUAGGACACAUGGACUGUUAUUAAUUAAACUUAAUUAAACUUUGACUACUCUUAAUAUUGCUGCAAUAUGUGACAUUAUGUAAUAUUUCUGUAUGCACAGAACAUCUGGAAGACCUGCUACAUUCACUAAGAGCAGUAUACUGUAUCACACAAUGCAAAGAUGUAUUUAUUUUUUUCUCCUCUAGAGAUGGACUCAUGAGAACAGCUGGAUGAUAGUUAGGGUCAAACACUGGAGGCGCUCAGACAAGAAAAAAACAUCACUCCUCAUGUAAUAUGGGUAUUUAUGAUGAAACACUGAAUGUUAACAGUGAUAAUAAUCAUCAGAUUCCACAAGAGGUGAUAUUUUGUUAAAACAUUCAAAUGAAUUAAAAUUAAUGAAUGAAUCCACAUGUUUCUAUAAUAACACACAAUCUGAACUUGAUGUUCUUGUCUGCUGAUCAUUAAAGUGAGGUCUGAACUGUUUUUGAUUGUUAGAAAGGAGAGAAUCAGAGAGUCACCAGCUCUUUUUCUCCAGAUCAGCCAGAGAACAGCAGCCAGAAGAACAGCGAUCGCAGCGACAGACACAGAAAUCACUGCGACUGAAGAAGAGACAUAGUCAGAGACGGGACGAAUGAUCUCUAUUAUAGUCAAGAUAAAGACGAUAAGUGACGGAUAUAUUUCAUUAAUGUUUUAUGCAUUACCUUUUGUAUGAGAUGGUUCUGUCGUUGUAUCAGCUCGAGCUGUAAAAUAUGAAUGUUAGUUCAGAUGCAUCACAUGAAAGAAUGAUCUUCAAAGUGCAAUCCCCUAAACCAUAACCCCCCCCCCCAACCCAAAAAAAAAUCUUCUGAAAUGUGCUGAUUUACAUCCCUUAAAGUCACUUAUAUGAUGCACAUAAUGACAAAUGAGCCAGACGUAAACACUCUAAAGUAAACACUUCAAGGUUUUUAUAGCAGUAUUUCACUGCUUUUCAGUUUUCACUGAGGGUUUCAGAACAAAGUUUAUGGUUUGGUAAUCAGAUUUCUCUUGGAUAUGAAUCUGCAGUAUGCUGUCGAAGACUAGUAAAUAAUAUCACAUCUCAUUCUUCGUGAUCUCUGAACUCAGGUGACGUGGUCCUCUGUUCCAAAAUAAAGCUUUAAGCCCCGUGAAGCCGUGGUUUACAGUGAAUUUAUAACAGCUAUGGGUCGUUGAUAAGAUCAGUAAACACCCUUAGCUGUAAUAAAUUCACUGUAAACCACAGCUUCACAGGGGUUAUUGCUUUUAUAAAACGGUUAUUACAUAUACGUAGCAAGGUUUCAAAAAAUAGACAUAGACGUAUAUUUUCUGUCAUUUAUCGUCGGUCAUCCUCAUUAAUGUAUUUUAAACUGUUUUCAUAUUUAGAUAUGACGGCCAGAAAAAAAUUAAGUUAUGUUAAGUUUUUGUUAUGUUCAGUUUUUCAGUGUCAUUGACUCCAAUUAUUUCUCAGCGUUUUGCUUCAGUUUUCAGUCC